CCACAGAGAGACAAAAUCAAAAUCUUAACGGCCAUUUAAAUGUUGGCACUCUGAAUCCAAAAUUCAGAGAAAACAGCUGAGCGACCUGGAGGUUUUAACACAGGCUGUUCGUUUACAUUAAUGGUACUUUGCGGCUCUUUGAGGGAAACCAAACAUUCAGGAUUAUUUCACUUUAAAAAUCCGUUCAAAAGAUCCAUUUUGAACCAUGAGUGAAAUUCACAGAAAGGUAGAAUCAUCAUAAAAUUAAUGUGCAAAGGCCAACAGAGUAAUUAUGUACUUCUGUUUAUUGUAAGGCCUGUUAAAGUUCUACACUUUUAUUUUGGUGACUUUCUAGUUAAGGUCGCUAUGGUAACAGAACACAGUUCUACCAGAGAAAGUCAACAGCGAUAAAUGAAAAGGUUAACAGAAAAAUGGAUAAAAAGCAACUGAACUUAAACUUCAGUCAUUAAGGGAACCAGAUGUGAUGACUUACCAAAGACGAUAAGCAUGCCCAGAGGUUUUAGCAAACCGAAACCUUUUUGAGUGUCGGAGCCACCAAGAGGGUCCAGGACAAUAUCCACUCCUGCAGA
This is a long non-coding RNA of Xiphophorus couchianus (Monterrey platyfish), 569 nucleotides long. RefSeq lists it as uncharacterized. The record is from RefSeq and is a predicted model, not a curated record. NCBI's taxonomy places the organism in Eukaryota, Metazoa, Chordata, Actinopteri, Cyprinodontiformes, Poeciliidae. The transcript has 2 exons.